GUCCCGUUCGUCUAGAGGCCUAGGACACCGCCCUUUCACGGCGGCAACACGGGUUCGAAUCCCGUACGGGAUA
Molecule: transfer RNA, 73 nt
Filed under: Acetobacter orientalis NRIC 0481
Lineage: Bacteria; Pseudomonadati; Pseudomonadota; Alphaproteobacteria; Acetobacterales; Acetobacteraceae
Description: tRNA-Glu
Rfam family: tRNA
About the family: Transfer RNA (tRNA) molecules are approximately 80 nucleotides in length. Their secondary structure includes four short double-helical elements and three loops (D, anti-codon, and T loops). Further hydrogen bonds mediate the characteristic L-shaped molecular structure. tRNAs have two regions of fundamental functional importance: the anti-codon, which is responsible for specific mRNA codon recognition, and the 3' end, to which the tRNAs corresponding amino acid is attached (by aminoacyl-tRNA synthetases). tRNAs cope with the degeneracy of the genetic code in two manners: having more than one tRNA (with a specific anti-codon) for a particular amino acid; and 'wobble' base-pairing, i.e. permitting non-standard base-pairing at the 3rd anti-codon position.
Source: RNAcentral